Molecule: ribosomal RNA, 367 nt
Filed under: uncultured Streptococcus sp.
Lineage: Bacteria; Bacillati; Bacillota; Bacilli; Lactobacillales; Streptococcaceae
Description: bacterial SSU rRNA
Rfam family: Bacterial small subunit ribosomal RNA
Source: RNAcentral
ACUUCGGUACAUCGGUGACAGGUGGUGCAUGGUUGUCGUCAGCUCGUGUCGUGAGAUGUUGGGUUAAGUCCCGCAACGAGCGCAACCCCUACUGUUAGUUGCCAUCAUUCAGUUUGGGCACUCUAGCGAGACUGCCGGUAAUAAACCGGAGGAAGGUGGGAGUGACGUCAAAUCAUCAUGCCCCUUAUGACCUGGGCUACACACGUGCUACAAUGGUUGGUACAACGAGUUGCGAGUCGGUGACGGCGAGCUAAUCUCUUAAAGCCAAUCUCAGUUCGGAUUGUAGGCUGCAACUCGCCUACAUGAAGUCGGAAUCGCUAGUAAUCGCGGAUCAGCACGCCCGCGGUCGAAUACGUUCCCGGGCCUU